This 61-nucleotide transfer RNA is filed under the name Trifida elongata. Its description in RNAcentral is "tRNA-Tyr". Lineage: Eukaryota; Metazoa; Arthropoda; Insecta; Hemiptera; Cicadellidae. The record is from RNAcentral.
AUUAAGAUGUCUGAUUAAAGUAAUAAAUUGUAAAUUUAUUUAAGGUUUUUACCUCUUAAUA